RNAcentral lists this non-coding RNA (537 nucleotides) under Stegodyphus mimosarum. Its description in RNAcentral is "eukaryotic small subunit ribosomal RNA". It matches the Rfam family "Eukaryotic small subunit ribosomal RNA", at positions 49 to 589 of the family's 1831-position model. The record is from Rfam by way of RNAcentral. Lineage: Eukaryota; Metazoa; Arthropoda; Arachnida; Araneae; Eresidae.
UUAUUCAGGUGUUAACCUGCUUUGAACAUUCCAAUUUUUCUAAAGUAAGCUUGAUGUUCACUUAACAUACCAGUGGAGAUCAUCAAAAGAAACUGGAUGACUGUUAAGAAUAGGCAGUAACCAUCAGCAGGUAGACGACCGUCUGGAACGGCGAAGCGCUUUUAUUAGACCCAAACCAUUCAGACCUCGUGUCUGUACUUUGUGCGAACUAUGUAUAAAUUUGGACUGAUUGUACGGGUUCAUCAUGGCAACAUCAUUCAAAAGCGUCUGCCUUAGUAGCGGUCGAUGGUUGGUUACGCACCUAGCAUAGUCGUAAUGGGUGAUGGAGUCAGGGUGGAGCCUGAGAAAGGGCUAUCACGUUCAAUUAAAGAAGAAGACGCGCAGGUUACCCACUCCCAGAAUGGGGAGGUAAUGAGGAAAAAUAAAAAUACGGGACUCCUUUUGUAACCCCUUACUUGGAAUGAGUACACUUUAAACCUUUUAAUGAGGAUCAGCUGGAGGAUAAGUCUCGUGUCAGAAGCUGCGGUAAUUCCGAGU